CAGUUCGGACUGUAGUCUGCAACCCGACUACACGAAGCUGGAAUCGCUAGUAAUCGCGAAUCAGAAUGUCGCGGUGAAUACGUUCCCGGGUCUUGUACACACCGCCCGUCACACCAUGGGAGUCGGUAACGCCCGAAGCCUGUGACCCAACCGAAAGGAGGGAGCAGUCGAAGGUGGGAUCGGUGACUGGGGUGAAGUCGUAACAAGGUACC
This 212-nucleotide ribosomal RNA is filed under the name uncultured bacterium. RNAcentral's name for it is "partial 16S ribosomal RNA". It matches the Rfam family "Bacterial small subunit ribosomal RNA", at positions 1289 to 1500 of the family's 1533-position model. The record is from RNAcentral.